UAAGGAAUAUUGGUCAAUGGACGCAAGUCUGAACCAGCCAUGCCGCGUGAAGGAUUAAGGCCCUCUGGGUUGUAAACUUCUUUUAUAGGGGAAGAAAUGUGACGGUUCUCCGUCACUUGACGGUACCCUGGGAAUAAGCACCGGCUAACUCCGUGCCAGCAGCCGCGGUAAUACGGAGGGUGCAAGCGUUAUCCGGAAUCACUGGGCGUAAAGCGCGCGUAGGCCGUCUUUUAAGUCGGACGUGAAAGCCCUCGGCUCAACCGGGGAACUGCGUUCGAUACUGGGAGACUUGAGUCCUGGAGAGGGUGGCGGAAUUCCGGGUGUAGGAGUGAAAUCCGUAGAUAUCCGGAGGAACACCGGUGGCGAAGGCGGCCACCUGGACAGGUACUGACGCUGAGGCGCGAAAGCGUGGGGAGCAAACA
Molecule: ribosomal RNA, 422 nt
Filed under: uncultured bacterium
Lineage: Bacteria
Description: bacterial SSU rRNA
Rfam family: Bacterial small subunit ribosomal RNA
Source: RNAcentral